This is a long non-coding RNA of Vespula pensylvanica (western yellowjacket), 411 nucleotides long. RefSeq lists it as uncharacterized. NCBI's taxonomy places the organism in Eukaryota, Metazoa, Arthropoda, Insecta, Hymenoptera, Vespidae. The transcript has 2 exons. The record is from RefSeq and is a predicted model, not a curated record.
GGGAGGAUGGGGGUGGAAAGAAGAAUUGAAAUUUCAUCGAUGAUAGCUUUUAAUUAUUAAUAAACAAAUAUUAUUUAAACGUUAAGGAAAUUUAUUAAGAGAAACUUACUGUCCAAAUUCACCGAGUAUUAUUGCACCGAUGCCAAGAAGAGCAACGGCGACAAGAAUGUACGUGGAGAUGCGUGUUUGCAGCCAAGAAGCGCCCACUACCUUCAGCAUGGCUCAUCGGUAAGCUAAGCACCUUGGUAACGAAGAAAAGAAAAAGGUGGAAGGCACGAGUUUCGCGUUCUCAACCCAUCGAUUACAGAAGCCUGCUCCGUGGCCUCUUCUAACGCUCUUAGAAGUUGCCGGUACGCGCGUAUCCUAUUUUCACUGCAAUAAAUCAAAUGGAAAGAAAACCAAAAAAAAAAA